UGAACGCUGGCGGCGUGCCUACUACAUGCAAGUCGAGCGACCAGACGAGGAGCUUGCUCCUCUGACGUUAGCGGCGGACGGGUGAGUAACACGUGGAUAACCUACCUAUAAGACUGGGAUAACUUCGGGAAACCGGAGCUAAUACCGGAUAAUAUAUUGAACCGCAUGGUUCAAUAGUGAAAGACGGUUUUGCUGUCACUUAUAGAUGGAUCCGCGCCGCAUUAGCUAGUUGGUAAGGUAACGGCUUACCAAGGCAACGAUGCGUAGCCGACCUGAGAGGGUGAGCGGCAAAACGAGAAAAGAGACACGGUCCAGACUCCUGAGGGAGGAAGGAGUGGGGAAUAUUGCAGAGGGGGCGAAGGCCGGACGGAGCACGGCCGAGUGAGGAAUAAGGGUCUUAGAAUCGUAAAACUUUUUUAUUGGGGAAAAAAAAAGGUGAAAAUAAGUUGACGCGACUUGAGGUAACCUAAACAGAAGACCACGGAAAACCCCGGC
RNAcentral lists this ribosomal RNA (495 nucleotides) under uncultured bacterium. RNAcentral describes it as "partial 16S ribosomal RNA". It matches the Rfam family "Bacterial small subunit ribosomal RNA", at positions 30 to 508 of the family's 1533-position model. The record is from RNAcentral.